RNAcentral lists this non-coding RNA (117 nucleotides) under Nomascus leucogenys (northern white-cheeked gibbon). Lineage: Eukaryota; Metazoa; Chordata; Mammalia; Primates; Hylobatidae. The record is from Rfam by way of RNAcentral.
GCCGGGCAUGGUGGCUCAUGUCUGUAAUCCCAGCACUUUGGGAGGCCGAGGCAGGUGGGUCACCUGAGGUCAGGAGUUCGAGAACAGCCUGGCCAACAUGGUGAAACCCUGUCUCUA